UAGGGAAUCUUCCGCAAUGGGCGAAAGCCUGACGGAGCAACGCCGCGUGAGUGAUGAAGGUCUUCGGAUCGUAAAACUCUGUUAUUAGGGAAGAACAAAUGUGUAAGUAACUAUGCACGUCUUGACGGUACCUAAUCAGAAAGCCACGGCUAACUACGUACCAGCAGCCGCGGUAAUACGUAGGUGGCAAGCGUUAUCCGGAAUUAUUGGGCGUAAAGCGCGCGUAGGCGGUUUUUUAAGGCUGAUGUGAAAGCCCACGGCUCAACCGUGGAGGGUCAUUUGAAACUGGAAAACUUGAGUGCAAAAGAGGAAAGUGGAAUUCCAUGUGUAGCGGUGAAAUGCGCAGAUAUACGGAGGGACACCAAUGGCGAAGGCCACUUUCUGGUCUGUGACUGACGCUGAUGUGCGAAAGCGUGGGGAUCAAACAGG
RNAcentral lists this ribosomal RNA (429 nucleotides) under Actinomycetes bacterium. RNAcentral's name for it is "Actinobacteria bacterium partial 16S ribosomal RNA". It matches the Rfam family "Bacterial small subunit ribosomal RNA", at positions 355 to 776 of the family's 1533-position model. The record is from RNAcentral. Lineage: Bacteria; Bacillati; Actinomycetota; Actinomycetes.